This 185-nucleotide ribosomal RNA is filed under the name Methylobacterium brachiatum. RNAcentral describes it as "23S rRNA. Bacterial LSU". It matches the Rfam family "Bacterial large subunit ribosomal RNA", at positions 2728 to 2925 of the family's 2925-position model. Lineage: Bacteria; Pseudomonadati; Pseudomonadota; Alphaproteobacteria; Hyphomicrobiales; Methylobacteriaceae. The record is from RNAcentral.
GCCAGCGGCAGUGCAGCAUAGCUACGUACGGACGGGAUAACCGCUGAAGGCAUCUAAGCGGGAAACCCCCCUUAAAACGAGACCUCCCUUGAGGGCCGUGGAAGACGACCACGUCGAUAGGCCGGGGGUGCAAGCGCGGCGACGCGUUGAGCCGACCGGUACUAAUCGCCCGAUUGACUUGAUCG